UCACAUUAGAAAAAGAUGUCAUUUAUGCAACAUACUACCACAUAACUAUGAUCAACACAUGCGAAAAACUCAUAUGAAUGAAAAACUAUAUAAGUGCGAUUACUGCGAGGAAACAUUCAAACAUUCAUUCAAAAAAAAUGACCACAUGCGACUACAUACGGGAGAAAAGCCAUUUCUGUGCGGGAUUUGUGGCAAGU
Long non-coding RNA from Contarinia nasturtii (swede midge), 197 nucleotides. RefSeq lists it as uncharacterized. The transcript is spliced from 3 exons. NCBI's taxonomy places the organism in Eukaryota, Metazoa, Arthropoda, Insecta, Diptera, Cecidomyiidae. The record is from RefSeq and is a predicted model, not a curated record.